Molecule: long non-coding RNA, 494 nt
Filed under: Nicotiana benthamiana
Lineage: Eukaryota; Viridiplantae; Streptophyta; Magnoliopsida; Solanales; Solanaceae
Description: long non-coding RNA (NBEN_LNC004132)
Source: RNAcentral
UCGAAUCCCAAAGGCCAAAACACCUGGAUACACACAGAGAAUGCGAUCAAAUCCAACCUUGUCAAUCCUAAAGGCAUCAACGACGAAUUCAAAACAUUCAUGAAUCUUGUCUGCAGACAUCGUAGUUACCAUGGGAUUGUGAAGAAAAAACAACUUCCCAAAUUCCGGAAAUUGCUUUCUUAGAGUAGUGGAUUAUGCUUCACUAGCCCAAGACUCACAACCACAAUUGAAGAAGAAUGAAGAAGAAAAUAUAGCUCCAAAAAUACUAGAACUAAGAAAGUGGAAGACUUACUUGUAUAACUUGGAGAAUAUUUUAUUAACUCAAGAAGAUUUGCAUUUUGUUGGAUGAUGCAAAUGUGGAGGAGAGAGUGGGUAUAUAUAGGCUUUCCACCUCCUCAAUGGACGGUCAGGAUCUAUUUAAUCCUACGGUGUAGAUUCGUCUUCUAGAAUACUCCACACUUUUCUUACAAAAUAUCUAGAUAUUUUUAUCACCU